This is a non-coding RNA of Cherax quadricarinatus, 540 nucleotides long. Lineage: Eukaryota; Metazoa; Arthropoda; Malacostraca; Decapoda; Parastacidae. The record is from RefSeq and is a predicted model, not a curated record.
UAUCUUAUGUUAGGACACUCACCAUGGUUUUGGAUGAAGUUGUAGAAAACCUGCCAGAAAUCAGCUUAAAGAAGAGGAAGAUCUUGUUACCUAUUCAUUGAUACAUAAAAUACAAUAUGAAUAGAAGUCAUAAGGAGCAAUUAACCACUGGGGAACAUUGUAGGGGCAGAGAUCAUCAUAGAUCAUUGAUGGACCUAUGAAUUGGAAAACAAAUCCUUCCUGAAAACCAGCAAUGAUGAAAAGACAAGAAAAUAACCAAAGCAAUCUUCACUGAAUCACAUGAAGGCCGCUGCCCCAACAAAAGUCAACUAGAGGAAAGAACUGUAUGGUUGAUGAAUGUGAUUUUGGAGUCUGGGGAGCCUUAGCCAAGAAGAUGUAGCCAGAAGCAGUAAGUGGAAACUAGAGGCAGUGAGUGCAAACCUGAGGCAGCAAGUGGAAACUAUAAUAGGAAACCUGAGGAAAGCUACCUGGUAUGUAUUAUUGUUUAAUUGUUAAAACGAAGCAGAUUGAUGUCCUAGAAAUAUUUAUGAAAGGUUACCU